GACGAACGCUGGCGGCGUGCUUAACACAUGCAAGUCGAACGGAAAGGCCCUGCUUUUGUGGGGUGCUCGAGUGGCGAACGGGUGAGUAACACGUGAGUAACCUGCCCUUGACUUUGGGAUAACUUCAGGAAACUGGGGCUAAUACCGGAUAGGAGCUCCUGCUGCAUGGUGGGGGUUGGAAAGUUUCGGCGGUUGGGGAUGGACUCGCGGCUUAUCAGCUUGUUGGUGGGGUAGUGGCUUACCAAGGCUUUGACGGGUAGCCGGCCUGAGAGGGUGACCGGCCACAUUGGGACUGAGAUACGGCCCAGACUCCUACGGGAGGCAGCAGUGGGGAAUAUUGCACAAUGGGCGGAAGCCUGAUCCAGCAAUGCCGCGUGAGUGAUGAAGGCCUUAGGGUUGUAAAGCUCUUUUACCCGGGAUGAUAAUGACAGUACCGGGAGAAUAAGCUCCGGCUAACUCCGUG
Molecule: ribosomal RNA, 463 nt
Filed under: uncultured bacterium
Lineage: Bacteria
Description: partial 16S ribosomal RNA
Rfam family: Bacterial small subunit ribosomal RNA
Source: RNAcentral